GCCUUUUUUCCCCUCUUGAGUACACAUCUCUCCUAAAUCAUUGUUUUCAUCUUAUAGGUUUGCAAAUGAUACAGGCAAUUACCUCUAUGAACUUGUAAUAUAUAUAGCAGACAAAUACAGAUGCUGCUGUUGAAAUGGUGGAGAAUUUACUUUAUUUUUCUUAGAUUAAGGAGCAAUAUUUUUCACAAACAGUUCUAAGUCUAAGGAAAUAACUGAUUGUUACAGGGCUUUACCCGUUUCCUUUACUGACAGAAGACAGAGGUGGUAGUCUUGCAGAAGAGAACAGAUGAGUUCAGCCAUCAGAUGGACGUCCCUGAAGAAUAUUUUGACUUUUUCACAGGAAACCUUGCUCUGGUCAGCAUUCAUUGACUCUUGGUGGAGCGGCUGUGUGUUGAUGGAUUCCUUUGAAUUGAAGGUACAGCCAGAGCCAACAUCUUCCUUCCUUUUGAAAGAGGAUUUUUUGUAGGAUUUCUUUAUCAAAUUGAGGAGCUUCUGUGCUAAGGGACUCUUAAAAGUAAUUCACCUUUUAUUGGUACACAUAUGGAAGUCUUGAAACAGCUAUGACUUUAUUCAUAUUUUGUUCUUGUAAAGGUAUGAAGAAAGACCAUUUUUCUCCCUAUGUAAGUGGAGAUUGAGUGGAGGAAGAAGGACUAGCUUCAGGAUCUGAGUUACUAGAUGCUAAUUCUUAGAAUUAAGAAGUCCUUUACAAAUAAAUAGCUGCAGUCUCACUUCUCCAAGGGUUUUAUUCUGCUUAAUAUAUGAGAUAUUUAGAUCUAAAAAUUGUAGCUCCCAUGAUGUUGAAUUGCCACGUUUCAGUCAUAUCCUUCCCAAUGAAUAUAAAAUGCCACCCUUUAUUUAAACAUGGAAGUGCAAUUUGGCAGCAAUGUACAUGCUGUUAUUGAUUGUAGAGGUUGCAGAGUCAUGCAGGACUCAUAUCUGUAAUUUUUUAGGGGACCACUCUUUAUUCUGCUGUGGGCAUUGAAGCAGCUGAAACUUCUUUGGAUUCUCUAUAUGGCAGUAUUUAUUGCUUUACUGUUCAGCAUCUGUUUUUCAUGCAACAUAUCCCUGUGUCUGCAGGGAAAAAUCUGUAUUAAAACUUCAAAUAUAACUUUCUGGCUAAAGUUACAUAAAGUCUUGGAUUUAGAGUUCCUCGACUAUGUAUAUACAAACAGCAUCAGCCUAUGAAACUUUUAAUAUCUAUUGUAUAUUUUUAUUUUACUAACCACUAUAAACACCAACAUGAUUAAAAUAUUUUAACCAAUUUCUGAACACCACUAGAAUCACUGUUGGAAUUAAGGACUCUUUGCUUGUGUUGAACCUUUCAACAUGACACUAGAAACAAUAGUUUCAAAUUCUCACAGGCUUUUAAAAGUUUCUCCCUUUUUUAUUCCUUCCUCAUAUGAAAGAGAUACCUUUUGAAGACUCAUGCUUUCCAGGAAAUUAGUAUUCUUCACAUCUUCCUGCCACUGUCUAAAAACCGUGCAACUCUUCAUCUUAGAAAGCCAUUGUAGACUAUUAAUUUUAGCUGAUUAUUAAAAAAGCACAAAAUUUUAAGGCCAUCAUUGUGCUUUUGCAAUGACUUCUCCUCAUGCAGCCAGGAUCAUGGAGAUGGAGAACAUCCCUACCAGACCUACACAGACUGAUAACACAAAGGAUCAUGCUACUCUCUUCAUUAUGUCUGUUUUCCCUGGAUACUAAUAAAAAAAUACCAAUUACCACACAAAGAUGCCUCAUUCACCAUCUGAACGACCUAUUAGAUGAUAUCUAAGUGCUUUUUGAUAAGGUUGUGAGUAUUGAGACAGCCUCCAGAAGGUAACAGUACUUCUUAACUUAUAAGACUAUCAUUAACUACACGUAUGUGGCCUUCUUUGUCUAUAUAUAUAUAUAUAUCAGAAUAGUUACAAAAUGUAUCUGAUGUUGGAGAAGCUCUUUUUCUCCUCUAAACUGACCACAAACAAUAAACACUGGUCACUGAGUUACCUGUUCAGUGGUGCAGCCCUGGCUGGCUGGCCUUACUGCUUAAGCUGAGAAAAAGAUACCAAACAUGUCUUGGAUGGACAUGGACAUUGCAUGUUAGCGGGCUUCAUUUUGUCAUACCAUGUGGACACAAUGAUUGUAUUUGUCAUGCUAAGAAAGAGGGAAUACUGUCUGUGCCUUGAAAGGGAAUGCAAAUAGCUGGAUCAAAGCAUUCACUCUUGACAACUCAUCUGCAGACCCUCAGUUUGGCCAUAUGAUUACCUAAAAAUAUGUUCUUGGUAGGGCCACAUAAGAGAAGCAUAGACCUCAAAAUGUGGGCUAGGCUGGUACACUCUGUUGGCAGAACUGGCAUUUCCCUUCAGACUCAGAGGCUCCAGCUGUGAUACAUUUAGAACAUAUUGGGUCUUUUUCUUGGUCCAUUUUGAACAGACAUGUAGGAUGCUUAGAAUAUUUCUUUAUACAUUUUCUACACAAUGGAAGAAAAAUGAUUCAGUAUGAGUUCACUAAAACAUACUCCUACUGUGUUGAACAAAUCCUCCUAAUCCUUGCUCUUGUUUUACCUCUUGAGAUUUAAAAGGCUGUCAGACCUUACAUUGCACUGACAUGUACAGCCACUGUACAGUCCCAGGACUUUACAUUCACCUAGUUUCCACUAAUCAGAUACAUCCCAUCAGCACAGUUUACAUAUUUUUAAAAACCAUUAUAUUCAGUAAGUAGCUUAUCGCCUUAUUUUUAAUACAAGCACUGGUUUCAAAGAAAGUGGUAUUUUAAAGUGAUGCUAUGAUGAUUGAUGCUAGUAUAUGUGCAGUUCCUGAACCUUCAGUUAUUUAAACCUUUAAAUGACUUUCCAUAGAAAAGAAUCACUGCGCACUGCACUACUCUCGGGAUUAAAGUGAGUAAUACAUGAGGAAAAAAAAGCUAUUUCUCUUUGAAAUGACAUGAUUAUCAAUAUUUAGUACUCUCUUUGUUUCACAAGUGUCAGAAACACUACAGAAACUGCUUAAAAUAUGAACUUUUACUUGCUUUUAUGUUGUCUUAUUAGUCUCUGCAAAGACAGGUGUACUGAUCAAAGACUAGUAAGGAAAAUGGAUGUUUUCCAUUCAGCAGAGAUGAGAGAACUCGGUUUCCAAUUAAUCUUACAAUUACCUGAGUCAUGUUUUCAGUAAUAUAAUAUUAUCUACCUUUACACCUGUUCUGAGUGGGCCAAGGGAACUUCUGGAAUUCCAUUACUGAUUGCAAGCAGCCUUCACUGUUAAAUCAACUGAUAUUCAUGUUAGCUGUCUUGUUCCUCACCAGUAAAAAUGCUGACAUUUGUAAUAAACAUGGGAAAGACUUAGGAUAUCAACUCAUACCAGUGUAAACUGGGUCAAACAUGAUGGACUCCAUACUCUCCUGUUGUUAACUUCAACCUCACAUUAAAAGCCCAGAAAACUUAAUUGUUAACAACAUUUUGAGAGUGGCAAAAACCAAAAAUGUAAUUAAAAAGGUCAUGCUCUCCUUUGUGUGCCUUUAUUUAUUUAUUCAUUUAUUUCUAAUAUAUUAAUGGUAUCAUGGAACUGGUGAAAUGUAUUUUUCCAGUUUCCCAUAGCUUAACAUCUGCUCCUAUGAUUAACUUGGCAACACAGAGGAAAGGUAUCUAAAUUCAAAUGAAUUUACAUGAGAUUUUAUGUAAUAACUACAGCUGAGAGCUUUAAGGGAAAACUGCUUUAGAAAACAACUAGCCAUCUUGUGUCUGUACUGUAGCAGACAUAGGUGUAAGUUGGAUGGUAGUAGAAAGCAUUUAAAACUUCUUACUGUUGCAGACCCUGCUGCCUGCCAAUAGUCCCAAUUUUCAAUCUGCAAAACAGAUAUUUCAAGAAGACAGAGUGAAUGUUAGAAUAUAUAUGCCUCCAUCAUGGCAUCUGUGGGGAGAGUUCAACACAUUGUGCUUUCAGUCCUGAAGAAGAAGAGGUGCCUGCAGGGGCAGAGAAGAGAUUGAAUAUCAAUUGAGAAAAGUUACUUUAUUAGCAGUUCUUCAGUAUAACAGAAAAGUAAAAUUAAUGAGUUAAGAGGAAAAGGCACUGUCAGUCCCUUAAGGGGUACAGAUGCUUGUGUGAAUGAGUCAUAUCACUUAGGGGAGUAGCAGCCUGAAUGUACAUACAUUCCCUUUAUCUCUGCACAAAGAAGGGUUGAAAUACAAAAGGGGCAUUAUUCUGCAGAGGUAAAAAGAAUAUCAGAACCCAGAGGACUGUAUAUAUUUUUUCAGAAAGGACAGUUCAGAAGAAAAAUUGCAACCAUCUAGUUGUUCUUUUUCUUUUAUUAUGCUACUUUAUGGAAAUGUAAGUGAGCAGCAUAGCCUGCAAAUUUAGCAUCAUAAAUAGUGUGAAGAUUCAGAGUUGAAGAUAACCUUGUUAUCUUGCUCUGUCUUCCUGUGCUCAUUUCAAAUCUCAUUAAAAUGUGUCAUGAAUAAAGAAGAAAAAAGUCCUGUUUAUACCUGAUUCUCUCUCUUCUUUUUUUUUUUUUUUUUUUUCUGGGGAGAUACAGCCAGAAUGCUUAAAAAAUUGUUUGCAUCAUUUUAUGCUUCUCUUUCAUUUGCCUGCUCUCUUCUUAUCACAGUUCUGUAUCUUGAUCCCACUGGAAUUCUGAUGAGAGGGAGACCAGGCAAACUGCAUGGCUGAGGAGCCACAGCUUCCAGGCCUCUCGGUGUGCACGUCCUUGGGGACCUGGACAUGCAGCAGAGUGACACAAGCUGUCUCUGCAUUUCACCUGGGUUUGCCUCCGUUGUUGACUCACACACAGGCUGUUCUGUAAAAAGCAGUUGUUUGGCCCCUGCCUGAGCAUGUUGCAUAAUGAGAAUUCACAUUCAGUGCAGGAACUACUGGGAACCAGGCAGAGAUGGGACUGCUGUGGCUCUGGCUGCUGCUGAAUCGUGUUUUUUGGAGAUGACAGUGAAAAAAAUAUCAGAUGGAUAGAGCAGAAGAUAGAGCUGUGAAUACUGCCAUAGCAAGGCUAGUUGAAGUUGGCAACUGAUUUUUUUUUCCUGUUCCUUGAAACAAAGAAGACAGGGAAGAAAAGAACACUGCCUUCAACUUGUAUAUUAAUGGGAAGGAGCUUUAGAUUUCAAAUCUUCUUCAGAAAAUUCUAAGGCAGUGCUACUAUGUUUUGAAUCAGCUGAUUUUGGUUUUACGUUUGAAGUCCUACAACUUCUAAAUUGCUUGCAUGUUUAAUCUUUGCAGUACUGUGCCCAUUACAAGAAUAUAAAGAGAAACAGAUAUUUUCUUAUAGAGUUGCAUCCUCAUCCUUAAUUCUUAGAAUUAUCUGAAAACUGUGGUCCUUCCUAAAAUGCACUUUCAGAGGUAAAAGGCCCACAUACUUCUCUUUCAAUAGCAGUAUACUACAAACCAAGCACUGAUGUUUUUUUUUCCCCUGAGUCUUAAUACCAUGUAUUGCUUCAUGCCCUUUGAUUUAACUGGCCGGACACUGAAGCCUGUGAAUUGCUUGCCUGACUGACUAGAUAAUUCUCUUCUAUUUGCUGCCUUUUUCUUUAGAUACAAUCUAUUCUCAAAGACUGAUAGCUAGUCUACUUUUAGUAGAUGAAGCCUAAGACAUGUGGGCAAGGCCAGCUAAUUCUACAAUCUCACUCCAUUUUGGUGAAAUUUGAUUCAGAUCUUCAAGAAUUUGACUGAUUUUGGAGGAGACUGUGUUCUGCUAAUGCCUGCAGGCAGUAGAACGUGCUGACUCAAAAUAGAGGAGAUGCUCAGGUGAGAAAUUUUAGUUCAGUAAGGAACACGUGGUGUUCAUGCCAAAGACAACUCCUGACUACCCCAACCAGGUGCUGGACAGAUGGACCAUGGAAAGGCAAAAUGAGGUACCUCAGCCUUCUGACCACCCUUACUAUGUGAAGGCCUUCCUUCUGCCUUUUUCCAUCAUUUCUCAUUAGGAUCUGCCUGAGA
This is a non-coding RNA of Zonotrichia albicollis (white-throated sparrow), 5909 nucleotides long. NCBI's taxonomy places the organism in Eukaryota, Metazoa, Chordata, Aves, Passeriformes, Passerellidae. The record is from RefSeq and is a predicted model, not a curated record.